UCUCCUGGAAACGGGUGGUAAUGCCCGGAUGUUCCACAUGAGCGCAUGCGAGUGUGGGAAAGGCUUUUUGCGGCAUGGGAUGGGGUCGCGUCCUAUCAGCUUGUUGGUGGGGUAACGGCCUACCAAGGCGUUGACGGGUAGCCGGCUGAGAGGGCGACCGGCCACAUUGGGACUGAGAUACGGCCCAGACUCUACGGGAGGCAGCAGUGGGGAAUAUUGCACAAUGGGCGCAAGCCUGAUGCAGCGACGCCGCGUGCGGGAUGGAGGCCUUCGGGUUGUAAACCGCUUUUGUUCAAGGGCAAGGCACGGUUUCGGCCGUGUUGAGUGGAUUGUUCGAAUAAGCACCGGCUAACUACGUGCCAGCAGCCGCGGUAAUACGUAGGGUGCAAGCGUUAUCCGGAUUUAUUGGGCGUAAAGGGCUCGUAGGCGGUUCGUCGCGUCCGGUGUGAAAGUCCAUCGCUUAACGGUGGAUCCGCGCCGGGUACGGGCGGGCUUGAGUGCGGUAGGGGAGACUGGAAUUCCCGGUGUAACGGUGGAAUGUGUAGAUAUCGGGAAGAACACCA
This 563-nucleotide ribosomal RNA is filed under the name uncultured Bifidobacterium sp. Its description in RNAcentral is "bacterial SSU rRNA". It matches the Rfam family "Bacterial small subunit ribosomal RNA", at positions 146 to 711 of the family's 1533-position model. The record is from RNAcentral. Lineage: Bacteria; Bacillati; Actinomycetota; Actinomycetes; Bifidobacteriales; Bifidobacteriaceae.